RNAcentral lists this ribosomal RNA (253 nucleotides) under uncultured bacterium. Its description in RNAcentral is "partial 16S ribosomal RNA". It matches the Rfam family "Bacterial small subunit ribosomal RNA", at positions 524 to 776 of the family's 1533-position model. The record is from RNAcentral.
UACAGAGGUCCCAAGCGUUGUUCGGAUUCACUGGGCGUAAAGGGUGCGUAGGUGGUGAGGUAAGUCGGAUGUGAAAGCUCCGAGCUCAACUCGGAAAUGGCAUUGGAAACUACCUUGCUCGAGGGUUUGAAGGGGGACUGGAAUACUUGGUGUAGCAGUGAAAUGCGUAGAUAUCAAGUAGAACACCAGUGGCGAAGGCGAGUCCCUGGAAAACUCCUGACACUGAGGCACGAAAGCUAGGGGAGCAAACAGG